This is a long non-coding RNA of Sorex fumeus (smoky shrew), 466 nucleotides long. RefSeq lists it as uncharacterized. NCBI's taxonomy places the organism in Eukaryota, Metazoa, Chordata, Mammalia, Eulipotyphla, Soricidae. The record is from RefSeq and is a predicted model, not a curated record. The transcript is spliced from 4 exons.
GGCAAUCGCCGUGACCUCUGUUCUAUCUCUCCUCCGGUAGCUGCCCAGUUAGCAACCAGCUGCUCGGGGGACUGCGAGCCAACGGAGACUCUCUGGAAGUGACGCUGGCCUUCAACCUGAUCCGCUUCUUGGCCAGAGAUACACUCUACCUGCACGGCCGAGUGACCCUAUGCGACAAACGAGCAGGACAUCCGUGCCAGCCGACCUGUAGCCAGAAGAGUUCGCCUGCGAAAAAUCGGCCUUGGGAGAUUCGAGGCAGCAAGGACUUGGAGAGUCAAUCUGUCUGGAUAGAGUUCGGGCCCAUCCGAAUAAGCGAGUCCAAUGCCUCCAGCAACAGGAGUUCAACAGGAGUCUGGAUCACCAUCUCUCUUCUGAUGUUGAUAGGCUGGAUACUAGGAUAAAGUUCUGCUUAUGUACUUUCUCUAGACUCUAGUCCUUGGCCUCUAGUUUAGUUGCUUGAUGGAAA